AAGGGCACCACAAGAACGCGUGGAGCAUGUGGCUUAAUUUGACUCAACGCGGGAAAUCUUACCCGGUCCGGACAUACUGAGGAUUGACAGGUUGUUGUAGUUCUCCUUUUUAGGAGUUCUACUUAAAAUAUGCUAGUCCUUUCAUGAUUGUGUGAUAGGUGGUGCAUGGCCGUUCUUAGUUCGUGGAGUGAUUUGUCUGCUUAAUUGCGUUUCAUAAAAAGGACUUAAUUUUCAUCGCUUCGUUUAGCUUGCGCUUAGCCCUGGUUAUAUGAUCGUCUGCUAUUUUGGGUUAAGAGUGUGUAGCUCUGUACUUUUUUAAAGACUAUAGCAGUCUGACUCAGCAUUUACUUGCUUCGAUGUCGACUGUUUGUUUUUUUCUGUGUGCAUUGCUCCACUCUUUUCCCUUUGUGCGAUUUGUAUCUAUUUCCAUUCAAUGGGUUUUGCGUCUAUGGUCGAGUGAUUGAUUUUAUACAAGUCCUGAAGGCAACGAACGUGACCGCACCCUCUUGUUGCAUCCUUUCACAUUACACGUGUAACCAACUUGUUUGGUUUAUCGGAUGCUAACUAGAGGGACCGCUGACAACUUUUAAAACAGAGGAAGGUUGCGGCAAUAACAGGUCUGUGAUGCCCUCAGAUGUUCCGGGCUGCACACGUGCUACAAUGAUUGUAGCAGUAAGCAUCUUUCAUUUAACACACAUAGGUGUUUGUGCUUUAUCUGAACUAUGGCUUUUUUAGCUUGUGUUCGAUAACACAUUCCCUAUUGGCAACCUACUUCGAAAGUCCAGUAGGUAACCAAUUCGAAGUAACGAUUUCCCCUUGCACAUAUCUCAUGUUUCCUUGUUUGUAGUCUUGUUGCUGCUCUGUUCAGUAUACAUUGUUUCUACCUUGGAGCAUGUGCUCCUUUAAUUCGUGGUGGGGACAGACCAUUGUUAAUUGUUGGUCUCGGUCUCAACUAGGAAUGCCUUGUACGGGUUGGUUCAACAAACCACCCGGAAUAUGUCCCUGCCCUUUGUACACACCGCCCGUC
Molecule: ribosomal RNA, 1027 nt
Filed under: Foraminifera sp. fruitcake
Lineage: Eukaryota; Foraminifera
Description: bacterial SSU rRNA
Rfam family: Eukaryotic small subunit ribosomal RNA
Source: RNAcentral